GCUUUUCCAAGCCCUACAACUGAGGGGUGUUACACUCCUCACACUGAGAGAGAGUUUGUCUUACAUCAAUAAACAACUAAAUCCUAAAAACCCUAUCUUGUUCUAUUUAUAUUACAUUGAAAAAGAAGGAAAAUGACUACACUCCCCUUAAUGAGAGGGGUGGCUAUGGAGUGCAUUUUGGGCAAAGUGAAGUGACCAAAAUACCCUCAAUGAAGAUGGCCCAAAACCG
This 229-nucleotide long non-coding RNA is filed under the name Capsicum annuum. Its description in RNAcentral is "long non-coding RNA (CANN_LNC021167)". Lineage: Eukaryota; Viridiplantae; Streptophyta; Magnoliopsida; Solanales; Solanaceae. The record is from RNAcentral.